RNAcentral lists this long non-coding RNA (364 nucleotides) under Linum usitatissimum (flax). RNAcentral's name for it is "long non-coding RNA (LUSI_LNC004178)". The record is from RNAcentral. Lineage: Eukaryota; Viridiplantae; Streptophyta; Magnoliopsida; Malpighiales; Linaceae.
UGGCUCUCUUGCUCAGAUUCUACGAUCCACUACAAGGAAGCGUCAUAAUCGACGGGAAGAACAUAAAAGAAUAUAACCUAAGGAUGUUGAGGAGACAAAUUGGACUCGUCCAGCAGGAACCGUUACUGUUCAGCUGUUCAAUUAGGGAUAACAUCAAGUACGGAAAGGAAGAAGCAAGCGAAUCAGAAAUCGUUCAAGUUUCAAGGGAAGCAAACAUACAUGGCUUUGUGAGCAAUUUGCCCGACGGGUACGAUACGGUGGUUGGGGACAGAGGCUGCCAACUUUCGGGAGGGCAGAAACAGAGGAUCGCCAUUGCUAGAACUUUACUGAAGAGGCCGACGAUUCUGCUGUUGGAUGAGGCGAC